GUCAGAGUGUGCACCUCACUUUGGCCCUGACCCCUCAAGGGGCUCUUCAUCGAAACGACAGCUUGUCCAUGGCACCCUGCUGUCCUGUGUGCUCCAGGCCUGGGGAGUUACUUCCUGUUCCAAGUUACAACUAAGGCCAGAGACCUC
Molecule: long non-coding RNA, 147 nt
Filed under: Ictidomys tridecemlineatus (thirteen-lined ground squirrel)
Lineage: Eukaryota; Metazoa; Chordata; Mammalia; Rodentia; Sciuridae
Description: lncRNA (ENSSTOG00000031347.1)
Source: RNAcentral